RNAcentral lists this ribosomal RNA (214 nucleotides) under Taphrinaceae sp. RNAcentral describes it as "partial large subunit ribosomal RNA". Lineage: Eukaryota; Fungi; Ascomycota; Taphrinomycetes; Taphrinales; Taphrinaceae. The record is from RNAcentral.
AAGCGCUUGAGAUCAGACUUCCUGUCAGAACUGUCCUUGCUUAUGCAUGGGUCAACAGUUUUGGUUUGGAGGCCAGCAUCAGUUUUGACGGCUGGAUAAAGGUUUAGGGAAUGUAGCUCCCCUCGGGGAGUGUUAUAGCCCUUUGCGUAAUACAGCCAGUUGGGACUGAGGACCGCGGCUUUGCCUAGGAUGCUGGCGUAAUGGUCUUAAGCGA